CAAUAGCGUAUAUUAAAGUUGUUGCAGUUAAAAAGCUCGUAGUUGGACUUCAGGUCGUCCGGACGGUGCGCCGCAAGGUGAUCUACUGUCUUUUAGGGCGACCCUCCUCUCGAGAACCGUUCGUGCCCUUAACUGGGUGUGUUCGGGGCUCGGGACCUUUACUUUGAAAAAAUUAGAGUGUUCAAAGCAGGCCUUCGCUUGAAUACUUCAGCAUGGAAUAAUGGAAUAGGACUUUGGUUCUAUUUGUUGGUUUCAGGACCGAAGUAAUGAUUAAUAGGGACAGUCGGGGGCAUUCGUAUUUAAUUGUCAGAGGUGAAAUUCUUGGAUUUAUGAAAGACGAACAUCUGCGAAAGCAUUUGCCAAGGAUGUUUNCAUUA
This 377-nucleotide ribosomal RNA is filed under the name uncultured eukaryote. RNAcentral describes it as "partial 18S ribosomal RNA". It matches the Rfam family "Eukaryotic small subunit ribosomal RNA", at positions 592 to 975 of the family's 1831-position model. The record is from RNAcentral.